This 254-nucleotide ribosomal RNA is filed under the name uncultured bacterium. Its description in RNAcentral is "partial 16S ribosomal RNA". It matches the Rfam family "Bacterial small subunit ribosomal RNA", at positions 524 to 776 of the family's 1533-position model. The record is from RNAcentral.
UACGGAGGGUGCGAGCGUUGUCCGGAAUCACUGGGCGUAAAGGGCGCGUAGGCGGCCCGCGCAAGCGUGCGGUGAAAGCCCGGGGCUCAACCCCGGGUCGGCCGUGCGGACUGCGGGGCUCGAGCACUGUAGGGGCGGAUGGAAUUCCGGGUGUAGCGGUGGAAUGCGUAGAGAUCCGGAAGAACACCGGUGGCGAAGGCGGUCUGCUGGGCAGUAGCUGACGCUGAGGCGCGACAGCGUGGGGAGCAAACAGG